This 627-nucleotide ribosomal RNA is filed under the name uncultured Rhodobacterales bacterium. Its description in RNAcentral is "partial 16S ribosomal RNA". Lineage: Bacteria; Pseudomonadati; Pseudomonadota; Alphaproteobacteria; Rhodobacterales. The record is from RNAcentral.
GGCUAUCUGGUCGAUCCGCAAACCUCGGAGACCAUCGCCUCGGUGCUGAAAUCGACCGCGUCGAUCCGGCAGAUCGCCAAUGUGGUGAACGUCGAGUCCACGUCCUUCGACGUGCUGAUCGACACCACCGACACCGGUGCCGGCUGGGCGACCGAGGUGGACCCGACCGCCGAGACCGGCACGCCGACCAUCGAGCGCAUCACCAUCCCGCUGCACGAGCUUUCGGCGCUGCCGAAGAUCUCGCAGCGGCUGUUGGACGACAGCGCUUUCGACAUCGAAGGCUGGCUUGCGGGGCGCAUCGCCGACAAGUUCGCCCGCGCCGAGGCCAACGCUUUCGUCUCAGGCGACGGGGUCGACAAGCCCAUUGGCUUUUUGACCUACAACACCGCCGACAACGGCAGCGAGGUCUGGGGCGAGCUGGGCCACGUCAAGACCGGCACCGACGCCGAUUUCGACGCCACCAACCCCGGCGACGCCAUCGUCGAUCUGGUCUAUGCGCUGGGCGCCCAGUACCGCGCCAACGGCACCUUCGUGAUGAACUCGAAGACCGCCGGACGCGUGCGCAAGAUGAAGGACGGCGACGGCCGCUUCCUGUGGUCCGACGGCCUGGCCGCCGGAGAGCCAGCC